RNAcentral lists this transfer RNA (77 nucleotides) under Candidatus Nomurabacteria bacterium. RNAcentral's name for it is "tRNA-Arg". It matches the Rfam family "tRNA". Rfam says of the family: Transfer RNA (tRNA) molecules are approximately 80 nucleotides in length. Their secondary structure includes four short double-helical elements and three loops (D, anti-codon, and T loops). Further hydrogen bonds mediate the characteristic L-shaped molecular structure. tRNAs have two regions of fundamental functional importance: the anti-codon, which is responsible for specific mRNA codon recognition, and the 3' end, to which the tRNAs corresponding amino acid is attached (by aminoacyl-tRNA synthetases). tRNAs cope with the degeneracy of the genetic code in two manners: having more than one tRNA (with a specific anti-codon) for a particular amino acid; and 'wobble' base-pairing, i.e. permitting non-standard base-pairing at the 3rd anti-codon position. Lineage: Bacteria; Candidatus Nomuraibacteriota. The record is from RNAcentral.
GCUCCGGUAGCUCAGCGGAUCAGAGCAGCGGGCUUCUAUCCCGCGUGUCGGGGGUUCGAGUCCCUCCCGGAGUACCA